Molecule: ribosomal RNA, 468 nt
Filed under: uncultured bacterium
Lineage: Bacteria
Description: partial 16S ribosomal RNA
Rfam family: Bacterial small subunit ribosomal RNA
Source: RNAcentral
GACGAACGCUGGCGGCGUGCUUAACACAUGCAAGUCGAACGGAAAGGCCCUGCUUUUGUGGGGUGCUCGAGUGGCGAACGGGUGAGUAACCCGUGAGUAACCUGCCCUUGACUUUGGGAUAACUUCAGGAAACUGGGGCUAAUACCGGAUAGGAGCUCCUGCUGCAUGGUGGGGGUUGGAAAGUUUCGUCGGUUGGGGAUGGACUCGCGGCUUAUCAGCUUGUUGGUGGGGUAGUGGCUUACCAAGGCUUUGACGGGUAGCCGGCCUGAGAGGGUGACCGGCCACAUUGGGACUGAGAUACGGCCCAGACUCCUACGGGAGGCAGCAGUGGGGAAUAUUGCACAAUGGGCGGAAGCCUGAUGCAGCAACGCCGCGUGCGGGAUGACGGCCUUCGGGUUGUAAACCGCUUUCGCCUGUGACGAAGCGUGAGUGACGGUAAUGGGUAAAGAAGCACCGGCUAACUACGUG